RNAcentral lists this small RNA (823 nucleotides) under Pongo abelii (Sumatran orangutan). RNAcentral describes it as "processed transcript". Lineage: Eukaryota; Metazoa; Chordata; Mammalia; Primates; Hominidae. The record is from RNAcentral.
AAUCAGUCAGCCCCGAAGCAGUAGUUAAGCCGGAGGGCUCGGAAGAACGGCACCUUUUCUUUCUCGAAAAAGUUAUAUGGGGGCUGAAUGAGCUUCUGGAGGCUUGUUUACCGUCUUUUAUUGUCACACAGGAAAAGAAACUGCCUUGUCUCCCUUCCGGGAAUUCUCUAAGACUGUUCUUACGUCUGUUGCUAGAUUAUCGUCCAAAAGUGUUAAUGCCCAAGUGACUGACAUCAACUCCAAGGGACUGGAAUUGAGGAAGACUGUUACUACAGUUGAGACUCAGAACUUGGAAGGCCUGCAUCAUGAUGGCCAAUUCUGCCAUAAGCCCUGUCCUCCAGGUGAAAGGAAAGCUAGGGACUGCACAGUCAAUGGGGAUGAACCAGACUGCGUGCCCUGCCAAGAAGGGAAGGAGUACACAGACAAAGCCCAUUUUUCUUCCAAAUGCAGAAGAUGUAGAUUGUGUGAUGAAGGACAUGGCUUAGAAGUGGAAAUAAACUGCAUCCGGACCCAGAAUACCAAGUGCAGAUGUAAACCAAACUUUUUUUGUAACUCUACUAUAUGUGAACACUGUGACCCUUGCACCAAAUGUGAACAUGGAAUCGUCAAGGAAUGCACACUCACCAGCAACACCAAAUGCAAAGAGGAAGGAUCCAGAUCUAACUUGUGGUGGUUGUGUCUUCUUCUUCUUUUCCCAAUUCUACUAAUUGUUUGGGUGAAGAGAAAGGAAGUACAGAAAGCAUGCAGAAAGCACAGAAAGGAAAACCAAGGUCCUCAAGAAUCUCCAACCUUAAAUCCUAUGGAGUCUUGCUCCAUAGCCCAG